AGAUGAGGAUGAUGAUGAUGAUGAUGAUGAUGAUGAUGGAAACGAUCAAUAUAAUCAGCUGCCAUCAUCAUCACCGGUCUAA
Molecule: microRNA precursor, 82 nt
Filed under: Anopheles maculatus
Lineage: Eukaryota; Metazoa; Arthropoda; Insecta; Diptera; Culicidae
Description: microRNA mir-598
Source: RNAcentral